GUGGGUAUAGCUCAGUGGUAGAGCACAUGCCUAGCAUGCACAAGGUCCUGGGUUCAACCCCCAGUAUCGUCA
Camelus ferus (Wild Bactrian camel) is the source of this 72-nucleotide transfer RNA. It matches the Rfam family "tRNA". Rfam says of the family: Transfer RNA (tRNA) molecules are approximately 80 nucleotides in length. Their secondary structure includes four short double-helical elements and three loops (D, anti-codon, and T loops). Further hydrogen bonds mediate the characteristic L-shaped molecular structure. tRNAs have two regions of fundamental functional importance: the anti-codon, which is responsible for specific mRNA codon recognition, and the 3' end, to which the tRNAs corresponding amino acid is attached (by aminoacyl-tRNA synthetases). tRNAs cope with the degeneracy of the genetic code in two manners: having more than one tRNA (with a specific anti-codon) for a particular amino acid; and 'wobble' base-pairing, i.e. permitting non-standard base-pairing at the 3rd anti-codon position. NCBI's taxonomy places the organism in Eukaryota, Metazoa, Chordata, Mammalia, Artiodactyla, Camelidae. The record is from Rfam.